RNAcentral lists this long non-coding RNA (1492 nucleotides) under Gallus gallus (chicken). RNAcentral's name for it is "lncRNA (ENSGALG00010025961.1)". Lineage: Eukaryota; Metazoa; Chordata; Aves; Galliformes; Phasianidae. The record is from RNAcentral.
CGCGCCCUGGAGACGCGUGAACGCGCGAGCGUCCUCCGGCCGGCCCCUUCCUCGUCGUCCUCGUCGUCCUCGUCGUCCUCGCAAAUGCGGACUCAGAGCAAAGCAGCUCCCUUUGGCACGGGGAGGAGCGCCGCUAACUCGACCACGCUCGCUCCCGUGAGGCGGCUCGCUUGCCGGCGAUCUCCGACGGACGGCUCGCUAGGAGAAAUGAGAAAAUGGAACCGAGGGAGCUUGUGAAAGAGGAGAUCCUUGAGACAAAGCGCAGUGCCAGCCAGAAGCUCAGCCUCGGAUACCUGGCCGUCAGACAGAACAUGGGCAUGAAGACGAGAGCAGAGACAGACCCUACAUUGCACCAAGGCCACGUCAGCUAUGCAGGAGACAGUGGACCUGCAAAUGCAACAAGAAACAGGUACACACACACACACACACACACACACUCAGAGGAGAGACCCCUUCACCAGGGGCUCCUACCCAACGCACGGGGUCCGCUCCUCAGCCGGAGGGCACCCCAGUUUGACCCGCACGCAAGGGGAACCCUUGAAAACUUCAGGGCUAAGCCCCAUCUCACCCGCACGCACGGGGUCCCCUCCUCAGCCGGAGGGCACCCCAGUUCCACCCGCAUGCAAGGGGAACCCUUGAAAACUUCAGGGCAAAGCCCCAUCUCACCCGCACGCACGGGGUCCCCUCCUCAGCCGGAGGGCACCCCAGUUCCACCCACAUGCAAGGGGAACCCUUGAAAACUUCAGGGCUAAGCCCCAUCUCACCCGCACGCACGGGGUCCCCUCCUCAGCCGGAGGGCACCCCAGUUCCACCCACAUGCAAGGGGAACCCUUGAAAACUUCAGGGCUAAGCCCCAUCUCACCCGCACGCACGGGGUCCCCUCCUCAGCCGGAGGGCACCCCAGUUCCACCCACAUGCAAGGGGAACCCUUGAAAACUUCAGGGCUAAGCCCCAUCUCACCCGCACGCACGGGGUCCCCUCCUCAGCCGGAGGGCACCCCAGUUCCACCCACAUGCAAGGGGAACCCUUGAAAACUUCAGGGCUAAGCCCCAUCUCACCCGCACACACGGGGUCCCCUCCUCAGCCGGAGGGCACCCCAGUUCCACCCACAUGCAAGGGGAACCCUUGAAAACUUCAGGGCUAAGCCCCAUCUCACCCGCACGCACGGGGUCCCCUCCUCAGCCGGGCACGGGGUCCCUCCUCAGCCGGAGGGCACCCCAGUUUCCACCCGCAUGCAAGGGGAACCCUUGAAAAACUUCAGGGCUAAGCCCCAUCUCACCCGCACGCCACGGGGUCCCCUCCUCAGCCGGAGGGCACCCCACUCCCCACCUCCUUUCUUUUUUCCUCUGCAGGAAGCUCUUCUUUAACGUCCGUUGUUGCCUUCGUCCUCCCAGCGGCUUCUCCUGCAAGAAGAUGUGGAUGAAGAUCAAGUGAGCACCAGGCUGCCGCCAUAUGUGCAGGAACACCUGCAGAAUAAAAAGUCCUGUUCACC